UUGGAGGGCAAGUCUGGUGCCAGCAGCCGCGGUAAUUCCAGCUCCAAUAGCGUAUAUUAAAGUUGUUGCAGUUAAAAAGCUCGUAGUUGAAUUUCGAGAUCAAAUUGUUGGUCGUGCCUUGGUACGUACUGGCAUUAUUGAUUUCUCCCUCCUGAAGAACCACGAUGUCAUUAAUUUGGUGUCAUGGGGAAUCAGGACUGUUACUUUGAAAAAAUUAGAGUGUUUAAAGCAGGCUAACGCUUGAAUACAUUAGCAUGGAAUAAUGAAAUAGGACGUUUGAUUCUAUUUUGUUGGUUUCUAGGAUCGACGUAAUGAUUAAUAGGGAUAGUUGGGGGCACUAGUAUUCAAUUGUCAGAGGUGAAAUUCUUGGAUUUAUUGAAGACUAACUACUGCGAAAGCAUUUGCCAAGGAUGUUUUCAUUAAUCAAGAACGAAAGUUAGGGGAUCGAAGACGAUCAGAUACCGUCGUAGUCUUAACCAUAAACUAUGCCGACUAGGGAUCGGAUGAUGUUAAUUUUUUAAUGACUCAUUCGGCGCCUUACGGGAAAC
Molecule: ribosomal RNA, 548 nt
Filed under: uncultured Glomus
Lineage: Eukaryota; Fungi; Glomeromycota; Glomeromycetes; Glomerales; Glomeraceae
Description: SSU rRNA
Rfam family: Eukaryotic small subunit ribosomal RNA
Source: RNAcentral